CAACGAUGACGAUAGUGGCAAUCAUUUAUUAAGCAUUGCCCUGGCCUAAGACACCACAUGGGUCAUUUCUUCCAGGCUCCAACUUGCUUCUGCUUUGCCAUAUGGUAACACGCCGUAUUAUGGAAGCACCAUCAUUACCGCCAUUUGCAGGGGAAGCCUAAAGAGAUAAAUGCCAGCCAGCAUCCCUGUCUCUGGGGCCCUGGAGAGGCCUUCAACACACCUGGCCUCACUGCCCUGUGGCUUCAACAAAGAGGCCGAGCAUCUCCUAUAAACCUUGAGGUCCAUGGAUGACAUAGCGGAAUGAUGGAUUUCAGAAAAGGCAGGUGCUUCCCACUCUUUAAAUUUUUGUUUAUUCUUUCCAAGUUUCCCAUCAACAGCCCUGCAGUAAAAAUUCAGGGCUUCAGAGACAAAUAUUUCAUGAGUACAGACUGUGAUGAGGAAAAGCAAGCCAUUCCCUCUCUAUCAGGAUCCAGAGCACACUGCUGUUACGACUCCAGAACCGAUAAGGAAGCUAUGUGUGGAAGUAUGAGCUCAGGUCGCCUUCUGACCCUCUGUGACGGUCUAUUUCAGGCAGUUAUGGAUAGAUAACAUUACAGACACUGGGAUCUUUAACAAGUGACACAAACAAGAGAAGAAGCAGACAGGACCAUUUAACUUCAAACUCCACCGAAGAGAGCUGAAUUGUAAGCUUCCUACAGCAAGCCCGGCUGGCGGCUAUGUGGCAGUCUUCAUUUCUCAGCGGAAAAGCCACUCCCUUGAGACUCUCCAGGCACCCCCCAACCGCAUUUUUUAUCAAGUGUCUAAAAGACACAAUGAACAAAAACCAGAGCUUUUGAAUACAGAUUUCCAGUAAAACCAAACCCAGCUUGGGUCAGAUGCACCUUUCCAGCAACCACCAUCUCAGCAACAACCUGCCAGCUGUCAACUGGAAGUUCAGCUUCUGGGAACUUCAGCCCCCUUCUCAGAGGAGCAAGGUCCUAGCACCAACAGCACCUGCAGUGGAGCCCAAGUAUGGCUGCUUCAUGGAGAAGGCAGAUAUUGAAAUGUGAUCACUGAGGCUCAGUGGGAAUCCCUUUGCUCUCAAACUCCCCGAUGCAAUGCCUUCUGAUUUCAACAGAAAAGCAAGAGGCUCCAGGCACCCCAUUCAGGGACUGCCACCAAAGUACCCGCAAAUCCUUCAUGAAAGGGGAGACAUUGACACAUUCUUUUUUUAUUCUCUGGUAGGUAUCUGUUUGCGUGCAAAUCCGUGAGUGCUUGCAUCUCGUGUAUUUGAAAAUCCUGUUUAAGAAUGCAGAGGUCCAUAUAGUGUCAUUAAAACAAAUGAGUAUAACCCUUUGGUCA
Molecule: long non-coding RNA, 1341 nt
Filed under: Homo sapiens (human)
Lineage: Eukaryota; Metazoa; Chordata; Mammalia; Primates; Hominidae
Description: long intergenic non-protein coding RNA 1533
Source: RNAcentral